RNAcentral lists this ribosomal RNA (404 nucleotides) under Verrucomicrobiota bacterium. RNAcentral's name for it is "Verrucomicrobia bacterium partial 16S ribosomal RNA". It matches the Rfam family "Bacterial small subunit ribosomal RNA", at positions 355 to 776 of the family's 1533-position model. The record is from RNAcentral. Lineage: Bacteria; Pseudomonadati; Verrucomicrobiota.
UGGGGAAUAUUGCACAAUGGGGGAAACCCUGAUGCAGCGACGCCGCGUGAGCGAAGAAGGCUUUCGAGUCGUAAAGCUCUGUCCUAUGAGAAGAUAAUGACGGUAUCAUAGGAGGAAGCCCUGGCUAAAUACGUGCCAGCAGCCGCGGUAAUACGUAUGGGGCGAGCGUUGUCCGGAAUUAUUGGGCGUAAAGAGCUUGUAGGCGGUUCGUCGCGUCUGGUGUGAAAGCCCAUCGCUUAACGGUGGGUUUGCGCCGGGUACGGGCGGGCUAGAGUGCAGUAGGGGAGACUGGAAUUCCCGGUGUAACGGUGGAAUGUGUAGAUAUCGGGAAGAACACCAAUGGCGAAGGCAGGUCUCUGGGCUGUUACUGACGCUGAGAAGCGAAAGCGUGGGGAGCGAACAGG